This 253-nucleotide ribosomal RNA is filed under the name uncultured bacterium. RNAcentral's name for it is "partial 16S ribosomal RNA". It matches the Rfam family "Bacterial small subunit ribosomal RNA", at positions 524 to 776 of the family's 1533-position model. The record is from RNAcentral.
GACAGAGGGUGCGAACGUUGUUCGGAAUUACUGGGCGUAAAGCGCGUGUAGGCGGCUUGGCAAGUCGGGUGUGAAAGCCCUGGGCUCAACCUAGGAAGUGCACUCGAAACUGCCGAGCUGGAGUUCUGGAGAGGAAGGCGGAAUUCUCGGUGUAGAGGUGAAAUUCGUAGAUAUCGAGAGGAACACCGGUGGCGAAGGCGGGUCUCUGGGCCGAUACUGACGCUGAGGAGCGAAAGCGUGGGGAGCGAACAGG